CGAAGGGGGCAAGCGUUGUUCGGAAUUACUGGGCGUAAAGGGCGCGUAGGCGGCUUAUCAAGUCAGGCGUGAAAUUCCCGGGCUCAACCUGGGGGCUGCGCUUGAUACUGAUUGGCUUGAAUGCGGGAGAGGAUAGUGGAAUUCCCAGUGUAGAGGUGAAAUUCGUAGAUAUUGGGAAGAACACCGGUGGCGAAGGCGGCUAUCUGGCCCGUAAUUGACGCUGAGGCGCGAAAGCGUGGGGAGCAAACAGGAUUAGAUACCUGGUAGUCCACGCCGUAAACGAAUGAAUAGCUAGACGUUGGCGAGCAUGCUCGUCAGUGUCGGAGCUAACGCAUUAAGCAUUCCGCCUGGGGAGGUACGGUCGCAAGAUUA
This 372-nucleotide ribosomal RNA is filed under the name uncultured organism. RNAcentral's name for it is "bacterial SSU rRNA". It matches the Rfam family "Bacterial small subunit ribosomal RNA", at positions 526 to 896 of the family's 1533-position model. The record is from RNAcentral.